Ribosomal RNA from Danio rerio (zebrafish), 116 nucleotides. NCBI's taxonomy places the organism in Eukaryota, Metazoa, Chordata, Actinopteri, Cypriniformes, Danionidae. The record is from Ensembl.
UUCCACUGUCAUAUCACUCUGCAACCCAAGACCAGUUACUCACUGAAGCUAAGCGAGCUGAGCCUGGUCUGUAUCUGGAUGGGAGACCACAUGGGAAAACUAGGUUGCUGUUGGAA